CUUCCGUAGGUGAACCUGCGGAAGGAUCAUUACUGAGUGCGGGCUGCCUCCGGGCGCCCAACCUCCCACCCGUGACUACCUAACACUGUUGCUUCGGCGGGGAGCCCUCUCGGGGGCGAGCCGCCGGGGACUACUGAACUUCAUGCCUGAGAGUGAUGCAGUCUGAGUCUGAAUAUAAAAUCAGUCAAAACUUUCAACAAUGGAUCUCUUGGUUCCGGCAUCGAUGAAGAACGCAGCGAACUGCGAUAAGUAAUGUGAAUUGCAGAAUUCAGUGAAUCAUCGAGUCUUUGAACGCACAUUGCGCCCCCUGGCAUUCCGGGGGGCAUGCCUGUCCGAGCGUCAUUGCUGCCCAUCAAGCCCGGCUUGUGUGUUGGGUCGUCGUCCCCCCCGGGGGACGGGCCCGAAAGGCAGCGGCGGCACCGUGUCCGGUCCUCGAGCGUAUGGGGCUUUGUCACCCGCUCGAUUUAGGGCCGGCCGGGCGCCAGCCGACGUCCAACCAUUUCUUCAGGUGACCUCGGAUCAGUAGAUCCCCG
RNAcentral lists this ribosomal RNA (533 nucleotides) under Aspergillus flavus. RNAcentral's name for it is "eukaryotic LSU rRNA". The stretch from base 189 to 342 matches the Rfam family "5.8S ribosomal RNA". Lineage: Eukaryota; Fungi; Ascomycota; Eurotiomycetes; Eurotiales; Aspergillaceae. The record is from RNAcentral.